Molecule: non-coding RNA, 77 nt
Organism: Nerophis lumbriciformis (worm pipefish)
Lineage: Eukaryota; Metazoa; Chordata; Actinopteri; Syngnathiformes; Syngnathidae
Source: RefSeq, a predicted model, not a curated record
GCCACAUGAUGACUCUGUAGAUUCACGAGCCCUCGGGCUGUGCUGACCUACCUAUCUAUCACCCUUGUCUGAUGGCU